This 460-nucleotide ribosomal RNA is filed under the name uncultured bacterium. Its description in RNAcentral is "partial 16S ribosomal RNA". It matches the Rfam family "Bacterial small subunit ribosomal RNA", at positions 338 to 795 of the family's 1533-position model. The record is from RNAcentral.
CCUACGGGUGGCAGCAGUGAGGAAUAUUGGUCAAUGGACGAGAGUCUGAACCAGCCAAGUAGCGUGAAGGAUGACUACCCUAUGGGUUGUAAACUUCUUUUAUAAAGGAAUAAAACGAGGCACGUGUGCCUUUUUGCAUGUACUUUAUGAAUAAGGAUCGGCUAACUCCGUGCCAGCAGCCGCGGUAAUACGGAGGAUCCGAGCGUUAUCCGGAGUUAUUGGGUUUAAAGGGAGCGUAGAUGGGUUGUUAAGUCAGUUGUGAAAGUUUGCGGCUCAACCGUAAAAUUGCAAUUGAUACUGGCAGUCUUGAGUACAGUUGAGGUAGGCGGAAUGCGUGGUGUAGCGGUGAAAUGCAUAGAGAUCACGCAGAACUCCGAUUGCGAAGGCAGCAUACCGGCGCCCAACUGACGCUGAAGCACGAAAGCGUGGGUAUCGAACAGGAUUAGAUACCCCUGUAGUC